UUAAGCGACUAAGCGUACACGGUGGAUGCCCUGGCAGUCAGAGGCGAUGAAGGACGUGCUAAUCUGCGAUAAGCGUCGGUAAGGUGAUAUGAACCGUUAUAACCGGCGAUUUCCGAAUGGGGAAACCCAGUGUGNNNNNNNNNNNNCACACUAUCAUUAACUGAAUCCAUAGGUUAAUGAGGCGAACCGGGGGAACUGAAACAUCUAAGUACCCCGAGGAAAAGAAAUCAACCGAGAUUCCCCCAGUAGCGGCGAGCGAACGGGGAGCAGCCCAGAGCCUGAAUCAGUGUGUGUGUUAGUGGAAGCGUCUGGAAAGGCGCGCGAUACAGGGUGACAGCCCCGUACACAAAAAUGCACAUGCUGUGAGCUCGAUGAGUAGGGCGGGACACGUGGUAUCCUGUCUGAAUAUGGGGGGACCAUCCUCCAAGGCUAAAUACUCCUGACUGACCGAUAGUGAACCAGUACCGUGAGGGAAAGGCGAAAAGAACCCCGGCGAGGGGAGUGAAAAAGAACCUGAAACCGUGUACGUACAAGCAGUGGGAGCACNGUGUGACUGCGUACCUUUUGUAUAAUGGGUCAGCGACUUAUAUUCUGUAGCAAGGUUAACCGAAUAGGGGAGCCGAAGGGAAACCGAGUCUUAACUGGGCGUUAAGUUGCAGGGUAUAGACCCGAAACCCGGUGAUCUAGCCAUGGGCAGGUUGAAGGUUGGGUAACACUAACUGGAGGACCGAACCGACUAAUGUUGAAAAAUUAGCGGAUGACUUGUGGCUGGGGGUGAAAGGCCAAUCAAACCGGGAGAUAGCUGGUUCUCCCCGAAAGCUAUUUAGGUAGCGCCUCGUGAAUUCAUCUCCGGGGGUAGAGCACUGUUUCGGCAAGGGGGUCAUCCCGACUUACCAACCCGAUGCAAACUGCGAAUACCGGAGAAUGUUAUCACGGGAGACACACGGCGGGUGCUAACGUCCGUCGUGAAGAGGGAAACAACCCAGACCGCCAGCUAAGGUCCCAAAGUCAUGGUUAAGUGGGAAACGAUGUGGGAAGGCCCAGACAGCCAGGAUGUUGGCUUAGAAGCAGCCAUCAUUUAAAGAAAGCGUAAUAGCUCACUGGUCGAGUCGGCCUGCGCGGAAGAUGUAACGGGGCUAAACCAUGCACCGAAGCUGCGGCAGCGACGCUUAUGCGUUGUUGGGUAGGGGAGCGUUCUGUAAGCCUGCGAAGGUGUGCUGUGAGGCAUGCUGGAGGUAUCAGAAGUGCGAAUGCUGACAUAAGUAACGAUAAAGCGGGUGAAAAGCCCGCUCGCCGGAAGACCAAGGGUUCCUGUCCAACGUUAAUCGGGGCAGGGUGAGUCGACCCCUAAGGCGAGGCCGAAAGGCGUAGUCGAUGGGAAACAGGUUAAUAUUCCUGUACUUGGUGUUACUGCGAAGGGGGGACGGAGAAGGCUAUGUUGGCCGGGCGACGGUUGUCCCGGUUUAAGCGUGUAGGCUGGUUUUCCAGGCAAAUCCGGAAAAUCAAGGCUGAGGCGUGAUGACGAGGCACUACGGUGCUGAAGCAACAAAUGCCCUGCUUCCAGGAAAAGCCUCUAAGCAUCAGGUAACAUCAAAUCGUACCCCAAACCGACACAGGUGGUCAGGUAGAGAAUACCAAGGCGCUUGAGAGAACUCGGGUGAAGGAACUAGGCAAAAUGGUGCCGUAACUUCGGGAGAAGGCACGCUGAUAUGUAGGUGAAGUCCCUCGCGGAUGGAGCUGAAAUCAGUCGAAGAUACCAGCUGGCUGCAACUGUUUAUUAAAAACACAGCACUGUGCAAACACGAAAGUGGACGUAUACGGUGUGACGCCUGCCCGGUGCCGGAAGGUUAAUUGAUGGGGUUAGCGCAAGCGAAGCUCUUGAUCGAAGCCCCGGUAAACGGCGGCCGUAACUAUAACGGUCCUAAGGUAGCGAAAUUCCUUGUCGGGUAAGUUCCGACCUGCACGAAUGGCGUAAUGAUGGCCAGGCUGUCUCCACCCGAGACUCAGUGAAAUUGAACUCGCUGUGAAGAUGCAGUGUACCCGCGGCAAGACGGAAAGACCCCGUGAACCUUUACUAUAGCUUGACACUGAACAUUGAGCCUUGAUGUGUAGGAUAGGUGGGAGGCUUUGAAGUGUGGACGCCAGUCUGCAUGGAGCCGACCUUGAAAUACCACCCUUUAAUGUUUGAUGUUCUAACGUGGACCCGUAAUCCGGGUUGCGGACAGUGUCUGGUGGGUAGUUUGACUGGGGCGGUCUCCUCCUAAAGAGUAACGGAGGAGCACGAAGGUUGGCUAAUCCUGGUCGGACAUCAGGAGGUUAGUGCAAUGGCAUAAGCCAGCUUGACUGCGAGCGUGACGGCGCGAGCAGGUGCGAAAGCAGGUCAUAGUGAUCCGGUGGUUCUGAAUGGAAGGGCCAUCGCUCAACGGAUAAAAGGUACUCCGGGGAUAACAGGCUGAUACCGCCCAAGAGUUCAUAUCGACGGCGGUGUUUGGCACCUCGAUGUCGGCUCAUCACAUCCUGGGGCUGAAGUAGGUCCCAAGGGUAUGGCUGUUCGCCAUUUAAAGUGGUACGCGAGCUGGGUUUAGAACGUCGUGAGACAGUUCGGUCCCUAUCUGCCGUGGGCGCUGGAGAAUUGAGGGGGGCUGCUCCUAGUACGAGAGGACCGGAGUGGACGCAUCACUGGUGUUCGGGUUGUCAUGCCAAUGGCACUGCCCGGUAGCUAAAUGCGGAAGAGAUAAGUGCUGAAAGCAUCUAAGCACGAAACUUGCCCCGAGAUGAGUUCUCCCUGACUCCUUGAGAGUCCUGAAGGAACGUUGAAGACGACGACGUUGAUAGGCCGGGUGUGUAAGCGCAGCGAUGCGUUGAGCUAACCGGUACUAAUGAACCGUGAGGCUUAACCUU
RNAcentral lists this ribosomal RNA (2901 nucleotides) under Escherichia coli. Its description in RNAcentral is "bacterial LSU rRNA". It matches the Rfam family "Bacterial large subunit ribosomal RNA". Lineage: Bacteria; Pseudomonadati; Pseudomonadota; Gammaproteobacteria; Enterobacterales; Enterobacteriaceae. The record is from RNAcentral.